GUGGGGAAUAUUGCACAAUGGGGGAAACCCUGAUGCAGCAACGCCGCGUGAGUGAUGACGGCCUUCGGGUUGUAAAGCUCUGUCUUCAGGGACGAUAAUGACGGUACCUGAGGAGGAAGCCACGGCUAACUACGUGCCAGCAGCCGCGGUAAUACGUAGGUGGCAAGCGUUGUCCGGAUUUACUGGGCGUAAAGGGAGCGUAGGCGGACUUUUAAGUGAGAUGUGAAAUACCCGGGCUUAACCUGGGUGCUGCAUUCCAAACUGGGAGUCUAGAGUGCAGGAGGGGAAAGUGGAAUUCCUAGUGUAGCGGUGAAAUGCGUAGAGAUUAGGAAGAACACCGGUGGCGAAGGCGACUUUCUGGACUGUAACUGACGCUGAGGCUCGAAAGCGUGGGGAGCGAACAGGAUUAGAAACCCCGGUAGUCC
Molecule: ribosomal RNA, 425 nt
Filed under: uncultured bacterium
Lineage: Bacteria
Description: partial 16S ribosomal RNA
Rfam family: Bacterial small subunit ribosomal RNA
Source: RNAcentral